AUACGUAGGGUGCGAGCGUUGACCGGAAUUACUGGGCGUAAAGCGCUCGUAGGUGGUUGGUCGCGUCGUCUGUGAAAUUCCGGGGCUUAACUUGGGGAGUGCAGUCGAUACGGGGCUACUUUGAGAUGUGUAGGGAAGACUGGAAUUCCUGGGGUAGCGGGGAAUUGCGCAGAUAUCAGGAGGAACACCGGUGGCGAAGGCGGGUCUCUGGGCAGUAACUGACGCUGAGGAGCGAAAGCAUGGGUAGCGAACAGGAUUAGAUACCCUGGUAGUCCAUGCCGUAAACGGUGGCCACUAGGUGUAGGGGUCUUCCACGACUUCUGUGCCGUAGCUAACGCAUUAAGCUCCCCGCCUGGGGAGUACGGCCGCAAGGCUAAAACUCAAAGGAAUUGACGGGG
RNAcentral lists this ribosomal RNA (398 nucleotides) under uncultured bacterium. RNAcentral describes it as "partial 16S ribosomal RNA". It matches the Rfam family "Bacterial small subunit ribosomal RNA", at positions 523 to 918 of the family's 1533-position model. The record is from RNAcentral.